Molecule: ribosomal RNA, 253 nt
Filed under: uncultured bacterium
Lineage: Bacteria
Description: partial 16S ribosomal RNA
Rfam family: Bacterial small subunit ribosomal RNA
Source: RNAcentral
UACGAAGGGGGCUAGCGUUGUUCGGAAUUACUGGGCGUAAAGCGCACGCAGGCGGUGCGGUCAGUCAGAAGUGAAAGCCCCGGGCUUAACCUGGGAACUGCUUUUGAUACUGCCGCGCUUGAAUCACGGAGAGGGUAGUGGAAUUCCGAGUGUAGAGGUGGAAUUCGUAGAUAUUCGGAAGAACACCAGUGGCGAAGGCGACUACCUGGCCGUCGAUUGACGCUCAUGUGCGAAAGCGUGGGGAGCAAACAGG